UACGAAGGGGGCAAGCGUUGUUCGGAUUUACUGGGAGUAAAGGGCGCGUAGGCGGAUUUUUAAGUCGGGGGUGAAAUCACGGAGCUCAACUCCGGAACUGCCUUCGAUACUGAAAGUCUGGAGCACGGUAGAGGUGAGUGGAAGUCCGAGUGUAGAGGUGAAAUUCGUAGAUAUUCGGAGGAACACCAGUGGCGAAGGCGGAUCACUGGACCGUUGCUGACGCUGAGGCGCGAAAGCGUGGGGAGCAAACAGG
This 253-nucleotide ribosomal RNA is filed under the name uncultured bacterium. RNAcentral describes it as "partial 16S ribosomal RNA". It matches the Rfam family "Bacterial small subunit ribosomal RNA", at positions 524 to 776 of the family's 1533-position model. The record is from RNAcentral.